RNAcentral lists this ribosomal RNA (252 nucleotides) under uncultured bacterium. RNAcentral describes it as "partial 16S ribosomal RNA". It matches the Rfam family "Bacterial small subunit ribosomal RNA", at positions 524 to 776 of the family's 1533-position model. The record is from RNAcentral.
UACGUAGGUCCCGAGCGUUGUCCGGAUUUAUUGGGCGUAAAGCGAGCGCAGGUGGUUUAUUAAGUCUGGUGUAAAAGGCAGUGGCUCAACCAUUGUAUGCAUUGGAAACUGGUAGACUUGAGUGCAGGAGAGGAGAGUGGAAUUCCAUGUGUAGCGGUGAAAUGCGUAGAUAUAUGGAGGAACACCGGUGGCGAAAGCGGCUCUCUGGCUUGUAACUGACACUGAGGCUCGAAAGCGUGGGGAGCAAACAGG